AAGACGGGCCGCUUACAGCCAUUACGCCAGCAUCCUAGCAGAUGCGCGGACCUCAGUCCGGGCUGGUUGCAUUACGCCUCCCCUAUAAGGUCUCCCCAAAGAGAGAUACGUGACAGAGGCCUUUAUCCAACCGCCCAAACUGAUGCUGGCCUGCCCAC
Molecule: ribosomal RNA, 158 nt
Filed under: uncultured Ascomycota
Lineage: Eukaryota; Fungi; Ascomycota
Description: 5.8S ribosomal RNA
Source: RNAcentral